RNAcentral lists this ribosomal RNA (429 nucleotides) under Amanita rhoadsii. RNAcentral describes it as "LSU rRNA". It matches the Rfam family "Eukaryotic large subunit ribosomal RNA", at positions 184 to 612 of the family's 3401-position model. Lineage: Eukaryota; Fungi; Basidiomycota; Agaricomycetes; Agaricales; Amanitaceae. The record is from RNAcentral.
AGUCUCCUGGAACGGAGCGUCGCAGAGGGUGAGAAUCCCGUGUAUGACAUGGACUGCCAGUACAGUGUGGUAUGCUCUCAAAGAGUUGAGUUGUUUGGGAAUGCAGCUCUAAAUGGGUGGUAAAUUCCAUCUAAAGCUAAAUAUUGGCGAGAGACCGAUAGCGAACAAGUACCGUGAGGGAAAGAUGAAAAGAACUUUGGAAAGAGAGUUAAACAGUACGUGAAAUUGUUGAAAGGGAAACGUUUGAAGUCAGUCGUGUUGGUCAGGGAUCAACCUGGCUAUUUUGCUAGGUGUAUUUUCUGGCUGACGGGUCAACAUCAGUUUUUGACCACUGGAGAAAGGCGGAGGGAAUGUGGCACCUUUUAAGGUGUGUUAUAGCCCUCAGUCANAUGCAGUGGUUGGGACUGAGGAAUGCAGUGCGCCACACGG